GCAGGCAGCUAGCUCUCUGCAACUCCCACUGAAGCUCAGCAGGGCUGCGCCAGGUCAGUACCUAGAUGGGAGACCGCAUGGGAAGGCUGGGUUGUUGCCGGAA
Molecule: ribosomal RNA, 103 nt
Filed under: Danio rerio (zebrafish)
Lineage: Eukaryota; Metazoa; Chordata; Actinopteri; Cypriniformes; Danionidae
Source: RNAcentral